RNAcentral lists this long non-coding RNA (654 nucleotides) under Helianthus annuus (common sunflower). RNAcentral's name for it is "hypothetical non coding rna". Lineage: Eukaryota; Viridiplantae; Streptophyta; Magnoliopsida; Asterales; Asteraceae. The record is from RNAcentral.
UUCACAUCUCUCUCUACCUAAUCACUUUCUCUCUCUUAUCUUCUCUCUCAACAAAACAACCACCACCAUCACCACUCCACCACAACCACCACCGUCAUCGCCGCACCAACACCGCAGCACCACCACCUCCACCAACACCGCAGCACCACCACCUCCACCAACACCGCAGCACCACCACCAUUGUAGCCCCUCCACCACCGCUGCACCACAUCGGAAAAUGCUAACGAAGAAUGAAAGCCAAAUCGGAGACGAUUAAAGCUUACCUGUGACUACUACCUUACAUCGUUGUUGUCAGCCACCAUUUACCUGCACUAUUUGCUGUUGAAGUUUGCUUUUUAAAUCAGAAAAUUUUUGGGGAUGUGAUUCAGAUUGAAGAUUUUGGGGAUGUGAAAGAUUAUAGAUCUGGUUUUGGGGAUUUUGGGGGGCGGUGGUGAUUCAGAUAUGGGGGGCUGGUGAUUCAGAAGAUGCGGAGGGUCAAUCCAGACUUUAGAAGACAUAGGGGUUACUUGAGAUUGGUGUCAAAAAGUGUAUAAAACCAGUGUAGUACCCUAUUGUAUGAGAGUUAGGUUCAGUUUAUUCCUUGUAUUUUUGUUCUCAUCGACAAUUUGGCUCCAAAACCAAGAGGCUAAAAGGAAUUGGUAUUGGUGCUUCUGA